UCAGGACGAACGCUGGCGGCGUGCCUAACACAUGCAAGUCGAGCGAGGAGAUCCUUCGGGAUGAUCCUAGCGGCGGACGGGUGAGUAACACGUGGGCAACCUGCCUCAUAGAGAGGAAUAGCCUUCCGAAAGGGAGAUUAAUACCUCAUAACAUUGCAGUUUCGCAUGGAACAGCAAUUAAAGGAGUAAUCCGCUAUGAGAUGGGCCCGCGGCGCAUUAGCUAGUUGGUGAGGUAACGGCUCACCAAGGCGACGAUGCGUAGCCGACCUGAGAGGGUGAUCGGCCACAUUGGGACUGAGACACGGCCCAGACUCCUACGGGAGGCAGCAGUGGGGAAUAUUGCACAAUGGGGGAAACCCUGAUGCCAGCAACGCCGCGUGAGUGAUGACGGCCUUCGGGUUGUAAAGCUCUGUCUUCAGGGACGAUAAUGACGGUACCUGAGGAGGAAGCCACGGCUAACUACGUGCCAGCCGCCGC
RNAcentral lists this ribosomal RNA (477 nucleotides) under uncultured bacterium. RNAcentral describes it as "bacterial SSU rRNA". It matches the Rfam family "Bacterial small subunit ribosomal RNA", at positions 24 to 518 of the family's 1533-position model. The record is from RNAcentral.